UGGGGAAUAUUGGGCAAUGGGCGAAAGCCUUACCCAGCAACGCCGCGUGAGGGAAGAAGGUUUUCGGAUUGUAAACCUCUGUCCUGGGGGACGAAGGAAGUGACGGUACCCCGGGAGGAAGCCCCGGCUAACUACGUGCCAGCAGCCGCGGUAAUACGUAGGGGGCGAGCGUUGUCCGGAAUUAUUGGGCGUAAAGGGCGCGUAGACGGCCGAGUAAGUUAUAGGUGAAAGCCCAUCUUUCAAGGAUGGAAUUGCCUGUAAUACUGCUUGGCUUGAGUGCAGGAGAGGGAAGCGGAAUUCCUAGUGUAGCGGUGAAAUGCGUAGAUAUUAGGAGGAACACCAGUGGCGAAGGCGGCUUUCUGGACUGUAACUGACGUUGAGGCGCGAAAGCGUGGGGAGCAAACAGGAUUAGAUACCC
This 418-nucleotide ribosomal RNA is filed under the name uncultured bacterium. RNAcentral's name for it is "bacterial SSU rRNA". It matches the Rfam family "Bacterial small subunit ribosomal RNA", at positions 355 to 787 of the family's 1533-position model. The record is from RNAcentral.